AUAAAUAUGGUGUGGUGGCACACACAUAUGCCCAGUAUUAAUGAGUUGGAAGCAGGAAGACAGCUUUGGCUGUGUGAGACUGUCUGGACGAUUAACCAACCAACCAACCAACCAACCAACCAACCAACCAACCAACCAGCCAACCGAUCAACGAAGACAUCAGUCACUUCUAAGGCGUUAACUGUGGAGUGUGGGCUUGGUGCAUGGCCAGCUCCAAGUGAUCAGCAGGGCAGUCAUUCUGGCACUACCAGGUAUUAUGGCUCCUUUGAAGGCAAAGCAUUUGCCAAACAGAGCACUGACACAUGGCUUGGUGGCCUGGACCACAGGAGAGAGGAGUCAGCCGAAGACUGCUGAGUGUACAGCCAGCAGCAUAUUGCACACCCACCCACACUGGUCCAUCCAUCCAUCCAUCCAUCCAUCCAUCCAUCCAUCCAUCCAUCCAUGCAUGCAUGCAUGCAUUUAUUCAUUGCAGGCGAGUUCCCCAGUUGGUUGAGGGAGCAGAUAACAAAACAGCUGGCAGAGCCACCUUGAGAUGGUGGAAGAAGGGAGAGGAAGGAUAGUGCAGGGAGCCUGGGAGACGAGGCUGCCACUUUGCUGACCCGUGUGCACAGACACAGCACAGUGGGGAAUCCCACUGAGGGGGCCUAGACAGACAAAGGUGAAUGCUGGGUAGAGUGCAGAAGAUCAGCUAGGUGUCCAGGAAGCUGCAAGGUUGAGUUAGCUUGCUUGGCUCACUGCUGGGACAUAGAGGACUGUGCUUUCCAGGGUUAUUGGACUGCUCUUGGGGCACUCCUUCCUGGGGUGGGAGUCAUUAGAGCUUGGCUCAGUGCAGCGGAUGGGAGGACUUACCAGGGAAGAGCGACUUCCCCAACCCCAGGAAACCAGGAUGUGUGUCCUGAGACUCCUGCUCACUCUGCACGUCCCUGAAGAAGAGACAACAGCCACUGGGCCCUCUCAGACUCCGGCGGAUGUCCUGGGGCAAACAGUCUGGCUCUGUCCUGUUCUGAGGAGUCCUGGAGACACAGCUGUCACAUUUGCAGCCCCCAGACUUAGGAGGAGCCAGCUCUGUGUCCAGAGGGUGACGGAAAGCUGUCCAGGAGUACCUUGUCUUGAAGACAGAUUCUCAUUAGAGUCGGAGAGAAGCACUUGUCCCACAACUCUGCAAGCGAGGAGUCAGGGCAACAAGGAGAGAGAAUUCUGAGAAGAGAGGAAAAAGCAAAGCAGCAGGAGAGCUGGAGGAAAGGGGAGCAGAGGAACCAACAAACCAGCAAUCCGCAGCUAACCAGCUAAGCCCAGCUCUCUAGCUGGGGGCAGAGACCAGAUCCUGCAAGCAUCAGGUAAGCCCAGAUGUGACCAAGCCCAAGUGCUGAUAGCUACCCUACAGACAUCAAGGGUGAGACGUCCACACUCCUUCCUAGCUUUAAAUACGGUUCAGGGGAUCUGCUCAAAAGAUGACACCCACUUUGCAAAGCAUGCAAAGAAGGAAUCCAGGCUGCAGCUCUGAAGGCUCCAUGAUGAACAACUGUAACGAGGAG
Molecule: long non-coding RNA, 1535 nt
Filed under: Mus spicilegus (steppe mouse)
Lineage: Eukaryota; Metazoa; Chordata; Mammalia; Rodentia; Muridae
Description: lncRNA (ENSMSIG00000023050.1)
Source: RNAcentral